This 387-nucleotide long non-coding RNA is filed under the name Gallus gallus (chicken). The record is from RNAcentral. Lineage: Eukaryota; Metazoa; Chordata; Aves; Galliformes; Phasianidae.
UGUGCUCUCCUGCACCUGGCCGUUCCAGGAUUUUGGCGACGGAGCCUCGUCCCAGUAACUCAUCCAGCUUGGAGCGGGCCGGACGCACCUCCUCCUCUUCCGCCUUCUUUCCAUGCUUCUGGUCUCCUUUUUGGCCAUCACCAAAUCCCAGCACAUCCAUCAGGUCAUCAUCAUCAUCUUCAAACGUGAGCUCCUCCCUGCGCCGGGCUGGGGCUGUAGUGUGUAGGGGUGUCUGGGGUGGGAGUGGAUCUUUCUCUUUGCCCAGUUCUGUUUUCCUCUCUGGUCUUCUUUCACUGCCUUUUGGAGAUGGCUUCCUGGGAGCAUCCUGCUCCUCUUCAGAUAAAAGCCCAGCCAAAGGAUCAUCUACAUCUUCAAAGUUAAAUUUCC